Molecule: ribosomal RNA, 552 nt
Filed under: uncultured bacterium
Lineage: Bacteria
Description: bacterial SSU rRNA
Rfam family: Bacterial small subunit ribosomal RNA
Source: RNAcentral
AAUAGAUACCCGGGUAGUCCACCCCGUAAACGUUGGGAACUAGUUGUGGGGUCCUUUCCACGGAUUCCGUGACGCAGCUAACGCAUUAAGUUCCCCGCCUGGGGAGUACGGCCGCAAGGCUAAAACUCAAAGGAAUUGACGGGGACCCGCACAAGCGGCGGAGCAUGCGGAUUAAUUCGAUGCAACGCGAAGAACCUUACCAAGGCUUGACAUACACCGGAAACGGCCAGAGAUGGUCGCCCCGCAAGGUCGGUGUACAGGUGGUGCAUGGUUGUCGUCAGCUCGUGUCGUGAGAUGUUGGGUUAAGUCCCGCAACGAGCGCAACCCUCGUUCUAUGUUGCCAGCACGUAAUGGUGGGAACUCAUGGGAUACUGCCGGGGUCAACUCGGAGGAAGGUGGGGAUGACGUCAAAUCAUCAUGCCCCUUAUGUCUUGGGCUUCACGCAUGCUACAAUGGCCGGUACAAAGGGCUGCAAUACCGUGAGGUGGAGCGAAUCCCGAAAAGCCGGUCCCAGUUCGGAUUGAGGUCUGCAACUCGACCUCAUGAAGUCGG